GCCCGGAUGGCGGAAUUGGUAGACGCGUUGGUCUCAAACACCAAUGGAGCGAUCCGUGCCGGUUCGAUCCCGGCUCCGGGUAC
This 83-nucleotide transfer RNA is filed under the name Rikenella microfusus. Its description in RNAcentral is "tRNA-Leu(caa)". It matches the Rfam family "tRNA". Rfam says of the family: Transfer RNA (tRNA) molecules are approximately 80 nucleotides in length. Their secondary structure includes four short double-helical elements and three loops (D, anti-codon, and T loops). The record is from RNAcentral. Lineage: Bacteria; Pseudomonadati; Bacteroidota; Bacteroidia; Bacteroidales; Rikenellaceae.